CCCUUAGAUGUUCUGGGCCGCACGCGCGCUACACUGACGGAGGCAGCGAGCGUGUCCUUCGCCGGCAGGUGCGGGCAAUCUUGCGAGUCUCCGUCGUGCUGGGGAUAGAUGGUUGCAAUUGUCGAUCUUGAACGAGGAAUUCCUAGUAAGCGCGAGUCAUCAGCUCGCGCUGAUUACGUCCCUGCCCUUUGUACACACCGCCCGUCGCUACUACAGAGUGCCCGUGUCCAAGAAACGGUCGGACCUGUGCGGCCUCUCCGGGCGACCGGAGGGCCGUUACGGGGAAGACCCUUUAUUUGACGCGGGUCGAUGAAGUAAAGGUCGUAACA
This 329-nucleotide ribosomal RNA is filed under the name uncultured eukaryote. RNAcentral describes it as "partial 18S ribosomal RNA". It matches the Rfam family "Eukaryotic small subunit ribosomal RNA", at positions 1470 to 1796 of the family's 1831-position model. The record is from RNAcentral.